CUGACGGAGCAACGCCGCGUGAGUGAAGAAGGCCUUCGGGUUGUAAAGCUCUGUCUUAUGGGACGAAGAAAGUGACGGUACCAUUAGGAGGAAGCCACGGCUAACUACGUGCCAGCAGCCGCGGUAAUACGUAGGUGGCGAGCGUUGUCCGGAAUUACUGGGCGUAAAGGGCGCGCAGGCGGGUAUUUAAGUCAGAUGUGUAAUCUACAGGCUCAACCUGUAGUUUGGAUCUGAUACUGGAUAUCUUGAGGGUAGGAGAGGACAGUGGAAUUCCUAGUGUAGCGGUGAAAUGCGUAGAUAUUAGGAGGAACACCAGUGGCGAAGGCGGCUGUCUGGCCUACAACUGACGCUGAGGCGCGAAAGCGUGGGGAGCGAACAGGAUUAGAUACCCUGGUAGUCCACGCCGUAAACGAUGGGUACUAGGUGUAGGAGGUAUCGACCCCUUCUGUGCCGGAGUUAACACAAUAAGUACCCCGCCUGGGGACUACGGCCGCAAGGUUAAAACUCAAAGGAAUUGACGGGGGCCCGCACAAGCGGUGGAGCAUGUGGUUUAAUUCGACGCAACGCGAAGAACCUUAC
Molecule: ribosomal RNA, 579 nt
Filed under: uncultured bacterium
Lineage: Bacteria
Description: bacterial SSU rRNA
Rfam family: Bacterial small subunit ribosomal RNA
Source: RNAcentral